RNAcentral lists this ribosomal RNA (468 nucleotides) under uncultured bacterium. Its description in RNAcentral is "partial 16S ribosomal RNA". It matches the Rfam family "Bacterial small subunit ribosomal RNA", at positions 28 to 507 of the family's 1533-position model. The record is from RNAcentral.
GACGAACGCUGGCGGCGUGCUUAACACAUGCAAGUCGAACGGAAAGGCCCUGCUUUUGUGGGGUGCUCGAGUGGCGAACGGGUGAGUAACACGUAAGUAACCUGCCCUUGACUUUGGGAUAACUUCAGGAAACAUGGGCUCAUACCGGAUAGGAGCUCCUGCUGCAUGGUGGGGGUUGGUCAGUUUGGGGGGUUGGGGAUGGACUGGCGGCUUAUCAGCUUGGUGGUGGGGUAGGGGCUUACCAAGGCUUUGACGGGUAGCCGGCCUGAGAGGGUGACCGGCCACAUUGGGACUGAGAUACGGCCCAGACUCCUACGGGAGGGAGCAGAGGGGAAUAGUACACAACGGGCGGAGCCAAGAUGCAGCACCGCCGCGUGCGGGAAGACGGCCUUCGGGUUGGAAACCGCUUUCGCCUGUGACGAAGCGUGAGUGACGGUAAUGGGUAAAGAAGCACCGGCUAACUACGUG